GAUACCAGGGUACCAAGGGGAGGAAUCUGAUGCAAGCUUGCUUGCAAGAGGAUUUCUCCCCUUGGUACCCGCCCGAAACAUGAGUAAGGAGCCAUUUUUCGCAGAAAAAUGAGCGGAAUACGAAUGUUUCGGAGGAUUGCGUGAGCACGAAGUGCGGAGCAAUCCGGUAU
This 170-nucleotide small RNA is filed under the name chicken gut metagenome. RNAcentral describes it as "Clostridiales-1 RNA". It matches the Rfam family "Clostridiales-1 RNA". The record is from RNAcentral.